Molecule: ribosomal RNA, 494 nt
Filed under: uncultured bacterium
Lineage: Bacteria
Description: bacterial SSU rRNA
Rfam family: Bacterial small subunit ribosomal RNA
Source: RNAcentral
GAUCCUGGCUCAGAUUGAACGCUGGCGGCAUGCCUUACACAUGCAAGUCGAACGGCAGCGCGGGCUUCGGCCUGGCGGCGAGUGGCGAACGGGUGAGUAAUACAUCGGAACGUGCCCUGUUGUGGGGGAUAACUAGUCGAAAGAUUAGCUAAUACCGCAUACGACCUGAGGGUGAAAGCGGGGGACCGCAAGGCCUCGCGCAAUAGGAGCGGCCGAUGUCUGAUUAGCUAGUUGGUGGGGUAAAGGCCUACCAAGGCGACGAUCAGUAGCUGGUCUGAGAGGACGAUCAGCCACACUGGGACUGAGACACGGCCCAGACUCCUACGGGAGGCAGCAGUGGGGAAUUUUGGACAAUGGGGGCAACCCUGAUCCAGCAAUGCCGCGUGUGUGAAGAAGGCCUUCGGGUUGUAAAGCACUUUUGUCCGGAAAGAAAUCGCGCUGGCUAAUACCUGGCGUGGAUGACGGUACCGGAAGAAUAAGCACCGGCUAACUAC